CUAUAAGCAAACAUUUCUUCAUAAAAACUCAAAUACUGUUAUACAUCACUCUGUAUUGACUAGCAAAGCCCAAAAUCCCAAUAAACCAUCACAUAUUUAUACAUUUCAAUCUGUACAGAAGAAUCAAACCUCUCCUAUACUGGCAGGCAGAAUUGCCAGAAGAAAUAUUCCUCCUCAGAAUUUAAUCUACAGCAUAAUUCGAGUAAUUUGAUUAAUAUAUCUCUUCUCUUCGUUUUGCCCUGACUUGAUUUCCUCUGCACAUCUCAAAGUCUUCUCUAUCUGAUAGCCUCCUCCAAUGCUCACUUCCCUUUCUAAAUGGCAACAAUAGCUUUCGAAAACACUUACGUUCACAUGCAAUUUGAAACCCAUCAAGAACAGAAAUUCAAGUUCCAACUUAUUCAGCUCAUUUGUAGUUAAUCCCCCAACUCUUGCAAAAUAAGAAUUCCUGUAAUUCAUGUCCUCUACAUAUUUGGAAGCCACCAUGAUGGUCGUAAUGAGAAGCCUAUGCACAUUUCUUGCAUUGAUCCUAAACCCAGGAUUGGCCUGGCAAAACCGAUCAAUAUAGGCGUAGGCAACAACAUAAAUAGAGGGGCCGGCUCGAGUGUAUCGGAAAAUUCUCUCAAGAUAGGAUUGAAUUGUCAUAUCUGGUGUCUCGAAGCAAUCAAAGACCCUAGUUCUAAUGUCCUUUGAUAAUGCCCAUGAACAGUUCUUGGCGAUUCUCUCAUUUCUAGCCAUGGUUCUUUCGAUCAGAGAAGCAAGAACAGAUAUUACUAAUGGGGUAUGGGAGUCACUUUGGUAUGAAUAGGAGUAUAGAUCUGAUCGGAGCUUUCUCGGAGAAAUUGCAAGCGAAGAUGUAGCCAUUCGCGAAUCAAGUUGAAAGAGAGAGAGAGAGGGAAGAAGAUAAGAGAUGGGGUUUUGUUGUGAAAAGUGGUUGUCUUGAAAAGGAUUUAUGCCAUUUUGUUGUGAAAAAUGGUUGUCUCGAAAAGGAUUUAUACCAGAAGGAUUACAAAUUUGAUAGGGAGAGGGAGAGAGAGUUGUGGGGUAGUUGCUACUUGCUAGGAAUGGUGAGGUUUUAGGAGCAUUUAUAGUGGGGGGAGAUUUAGAAGGUACCCCAUAGGAAAUAGAGGAGACUUGGUAAGUUCCGUGGCCGGAGAGAGAGUUGCAGCUGUGAAAGUGAAUAAAAUAAAA
This 1188-nucleotide unclassified non-coding RNA is filed under the name Hevea brasiliensis (rubber tree). The record is from RNAcentral. Lineage: Eukaryota; Viridiplantae; Streptophyta; Magnoliopsida; Malpighiales; Euphorbiaceae.